GAUGAACGCUGGCGGCGUGCCUAAUACAUGCAAGUCGAGCGAACAGAUGAGGAGCUUGCUCCUCUGACGUUAGCGGCGGACGGGUGAGUAACACGUGGAUAACCUACCUAUAAGACUGGGAUAACUUCGGGAAACCGGAGCUAAUACCGGAUAAUAUAUUGAACCGCAUGGUUCAAUAGUGAAAGACGGUUUUGCUGUCACUUAUAGAUGGAUCCGCGCCGCAUUAGCUAGUUGGUAAGGUAACGGCUUACCAAGGCAACGAUGCGUAGCCGACCUGAGAGGGUGAUCGGCCACACGGGAGCUGAGACACGGUCCAGACUCCUACGGGAGGCAGCAGUAGGGAAUCUUCCGCAAUGGGCGAAAGCCUGACGGAGCAACGCCGCGUGAGUGAUGAAGGUCUUCGGAGCGUAAAACUCUGUUAUUAGGGAAGAACAAAUGUGUAAGUAACUAUGCACGUCUUGACGGUACCUAAUCAGAAAGCCACGGCUAACUACGUG
This 497-nucleotide ribosomal RNA is filed under the name uncultured bacterium. RNAcentral's name for it is "partial 16S ribosomal RNA". It matches the Rfam family "Bacterial small subunit ribosomal RNA", at positions 28 to 507 of the family's 1533-position model. The record is from RNAcentral.